ACUCCUACGGGAGGCAGCAGUGGGGAAUAUUGCACAAUGGGCGCAAGCCUGAUGCAGCCAUGCCGCGUGUAUGAAGAAGGCCUUCGGGUUGUAAAGUACUUUCAGCGGGGAGGAAGGCAAUACGGUUAAUAACCGUGUUGAUUGACGUUACCCGCAGAAGAAGCACCGGCUAACUCCGUGCCAGCAGCCGCGGUAAUACGGAGGGUGCAAGCGUUAAUCGGAAUUACUGGGCGUAAAGCGCACGCAGGCGGUCUGUCAAGUCGGAUGUGAAAUCCCCGGGCUCAACCUGGGAACUGCAUUCGAAACUGGCAGGCUUGAGUCUUGUAGAGGGGGGUAGAAUUCCAGGUGUAGCGGUGAAAUGCGUAGAGAUCUGGAGGAAUACCGGUGGCGAAGGCGGCCCCCUGGACAAAGACUGACGCUCAGGUGCGAAAGCGUGGGGAGCAAACAGGAUUAGAAACCCCAGUAGUCCCAUGA
This 474-nucleotide ribosomal RNA is filed under the name uncultured organism. Its description in RNAcentral is "partial 16S ribosomal RNA". It matches the Rfam family "Bacterial small subunit ribosomal RNA", at positions 335 to 800 of the family's 1533-position model. The record is from RNAcentral.